CGUUACCAAACUGUUGCCUCGGCGGGAUCUCUGCCCCGGGUGCGUCGCAGCCCCGGACCAAGGCGCCCGCCGGAGGACCAACCAAAACUCUUAUUGUAUACCCCCUCGCGGGUUUUUUUAUAAUCUGAGCCUUCUCGGCGCCUCUCGUAGGCGUUUCGAAAAUGAAUCAAAACUUUCAACAACGGAUCUCUUGGUUCUGGCAUCGAUGAAGAACGCAGCGAAAUGCGAUAAGUAAUGUGAAUUGCAGAAUUCAGUGAAUCAUCGAAUCUUUGAACGCACAUUGCGCCCGCCAGUAUUCUGGCGGGCAUGCCUGUCCGAGCGUCAUUUCAACCCUCGAACCCCUCCGGGGGGUCGGCGUUGGGGAUCGGCCCUGCCUUGGCGGUGGCCGUCUCCGAAAUACAGUGGCGGUCUCGCCGCAGCCUCUCCUGCGCAGUAGUUUGCACACUCGCAUCGGGAGCGCGGCGCGUCCACAGCCGUUAAACACCCAACUUCUGAAAUGUUGACCUCGGAUCAGGUAGGAAUACCCGCUGAACUUAAGCAUAUCAA
RNAcentral lists this ribosomal RNA (546 nucleotides) under Trichoderma harzianum. RNAcentral describes it as "eukaryotic LSU rRNA". The stretch from base 171 to 324 matches the Rfam family "5.8S ribosomal RNA". Lineage: Eukaryota; Fungi; Ascomycota; Sordariomycetes; Hypocreales; Hypocreaceae. The record is from RNAcentral.